GGCCAGGCGUGCUCACCUCUUCGACAGCGCAGAAGAAAGGACUUGGCAUCUGGGAAGUGGCUUUUAAAACCGGCCAGGGUACACUCGCUACAAUGAUCCACCGAAACAACAGCCGUCUAAAAAUAAGAUACGCAUAAAACCACCCCAGCGCUCCACACGCCACCGUCCAAUUCCAACAGGAAAGCACGGUCCCCUCCUGCCAGCUCUGGGGGCAGAGGGACGGCGAACAGUGAGCGCAGGGAACGGGCAACGGAGCUGGAAGCGGCGGGGCCCCUCCAGCAUCCCUCACCGGGGCGAUUCCGGCCCGUGCCGGGGUGUCACUGCCGCGGCGGGGGCCGGGACGGGGCAUCCCGGAGGUGGGAGGCGGGAGGAGGAGCCGCUGUGGGUUGGAAACCUCUCCUUUCCCCGCUACGAAGUGAUGAGAUACAAGUGGGUUGCUGAGAUAUUUACAGAAUAAUAAUAAAUAAAACAAUAAUAAUAAAUCUGGAGCGGCUGAAACCGA
Long non-coding RNA from Neopsephotus bourkii (Bourke's parrot), 502 nucleotides. RefSeq lists it as uncharacterized. The transcript has 2 exons. The record is from RefSeq and is a predicted model, not a curated record. NCBI's taxonomy places the organism in Eukaryota, Metazoa, Chordata, Aves, Psittaciformes, Psittacidae.